CAAACAGUGGGGAGCACCAGCAGCCUGUUCAAACACAUCUCCAGUUUAAAGAAAUCAGGCCUUCUAACGUUUGGUGUUAGACUACUUUAGUUGUAGAAAAGCUUUGCUCAGAGUGAGAGUAGUAAAGCUAUGCUAGGAAGUCACUAAAGUCCCUGUACUAUUACAAAUACUAAAGUCACCUCGCCCUAGCAGGUGUAACAACACUAACAGGAGAGUGAGGAGGACGUUAAUUGAACACACACAGACCUUGGAAGAGUUCUAUCCAGGCAGCAUGAGUGAAAACACCUGCGUAAGGCCGAUCGUUUCCUCGAACACAAGCAAACGCGAGCUGAUGAGAGGAAGACGUGGGUUAAACCGCACACUCUGACAAACAUCAGUCGAGAGGGAACCUGCCGCCUCUGUGAGACACAGAUAAGCCUACACAUUUCAACUGAAUACCUGAAGCUGAAGACUUCAACAGAGAAGCGGGCGCUGGAGGGGGUCCCGGGGCCUGGCAGGAAGCUGAGUGUGUGCUCCAUGUUGAAGGAGGAAAUUGAGACGUUGGAGGGUGCGGGGAGGGAAUCACACACCACUGCAGAGGAGGACAGAAUGACAAUAUUAACUCUGAAAUUUAAAGCACAGUGAGAUUACUUGAAUUUUCAAUGAUUUUAUCUGCUCUCUCUUCUUACCUUGCAUCCACACAUUGCUAAAUCUACAGACAAACAUUUCCUGUGCAUUAACAAACUUUCCAACUAAACAGAAUUACUUUGCUUUUACUGCUGCUGUCAACAUCUUCACACACCUUGCCACAAUAUAAGUUAAAAUCUGAGUCCAAAGGUGUAAAAACAAAGACCUGGAGCUCAUUAAAACACAUAUACACAAAUACUAAUAAAACCCCAAAACGUAACAAAAACACACAUUCUCAUAUUCACCAUUUAAACCUUCCACUUCCUCCCCACAUUCAAUCCAGGGAGCAUUACCAAGGUGUAAAUGCAGAAGAAGAAGCAUCCACAACCCCAUCUUCCCCCCCAUGGACUGUGUUAUGGCUCGCAGGUUAAACACUGUAUGCAAGAUGAUAAGGCUCUUGUUUUUAACAUAUAGAGAGGGAUGGGAGGGAGGGAGGGAGCUGGGGGUUUGUGUGGGGGUUGGGAAACGAACACACAGUUUGUUAUCAUGUUCAUGGUUGAGUUUCUAUUUCCCCAGAAGUCCCUCCCUGUGCAUUCUGCCCUUCAAAUCCUGCAUUUAACUGAGAGACGUCGCAGUGGCAGAAAGUGGAGUCAGCAAACGUGACUUUUUACCCUGUUUUCUGAUCUGUGUGAGUUUUAUUUUUAUGCUGUUUAUGUGUAAAUAUAUUUGUCUGUGCUUUGGGGGAGUUAGCUUGAAGAAUGUGUACACAGGGAAGCCUUUACAUUAAUACAAAUGACAAAACAUUGACAUGUCAAAUGUAACUUUAUUGGUUGUGAUUUGCAAAGUGAAAUACAUGUUUAUGGACUGAACACUAAUGAACAUGAGCAGCAGAAUAGCUUGACACUGAGUUACAGAAUGGCUUUAACAUUGAGUAUAAAAAUACAGAAAUGUCACAUGUACGGAAUCUGUUUGAUUAAAUUGUUUAAAUAAAGUUAUAACUAGCAAUAAUACAUGUUUUACUUCAAUAACCUGAUGCAAUGUGUAACUUUGAAUAAGUGUAAUGUUAAUAUGACUGUACAUUGAACAUGACAUGGUAAUAAAAAUAUGUAUAACAUGAUAA
Long non-coding RNA from Dicentrarchus labrax (European seabass), 1726 nucleotides. RefSeq lists it as uncharacterized. The transcript is spliced from 3 exons. NCBI's taxonomy places the organism in Eukaryota, Metazoa, Chordata, Actinopteri, Moronidae. The record is from RefSeq and is a predicted model, not a curated record.